GUGGGACUGGGUGCGUCCUCCCUGCCAGGUCACAGUCAAGUGACGGUCCGGGAGAAGUAGUGUGGGACUGGGUGCGUCCUCCCUACCAGGUCACAGUCAAGUGACGGUCCGGGAGAAGUAGUGUGGGACUGGGUGCGUCCUCCCUGCCAGGUCACAGUCAAGUGACGGUCUGGGAGAAGUAGUGUGGGACUGGGUGCGUCCUCCCUACCAGGUCACAGUCAAGUGACGGUCCGGGAGAAGUAGUGUGGGACUGGGUGCGUCCUCCCUGCCAGGUCACAGUCAAGUGACGGUCCGGGAGAAGUAGUGUGGGACUGGGUGCGUCCUCCCUGCCAGGUCACAGUCAAGUGACGGUCUGGGAGAAGUAGUGUGGGACUGGGUGCGUCCUCCCUGCCAGGUCACAGUCAAGUGACGGUCCGGGAGAAGUAGUGUGGGACUGGGUGCGUCCUCCCUACCAGGUCACAGUCAAGUGACGGUCCGGGAGAAGUAGUGUGGGACUGGGUGCGUCCUCCCUGCCAGGUCACAGUCAAGUGACGGUCCGGGAGAAGUGUGCAACCCCUUCAGCACCAACAGCAGAGAACUUUUACACACCUCUUACACACCUCUUACGCUUUCCUAAACCACCU
Long non-coding RNA from Oncorhynchus tshawytscha (Chinook salmon), 623 nucleotides. Lineage: Eukaryota; Metazoa; Chordata; Actinopteri; Salmoniformes; Salmonidae. The record is from Ensembl.